UGAAGCCCAGCUUGCUGGGUGGAUUAGUGGCGAACGGGUGAGUAACACGUGAGUAACCUGCCCCCGACUUUGGGAUAAGCCCGGGAAACUGGGUCUAAUACCGGAUAUGACUUUCCACCGCAUGGUGGGUUGUUGAAAGAUUUAUCGGUGGGGGAUGGACUCGCGGCCUAUCAGCUUGUUGGUGAGGUAAUGGCUCACCAAGGCGACGACGGGUAGCCGGCCUGAGAGGGUGACCGGCCACACUGGGACUGAAACACGGCCCAGACUCCUACGGGAGGCAGCAGUGGGGAAUAUUGCACAAUGGGCGAAAGCCUGAUGCAGCGACGCCGCGUGAGGGAUGACGGCCUUCGGGUUGUAAACCUCUUUCAGUAGGGAAGAAGCGAAAGUGACGGUACCUGCA
RNAcentral lists this ribosomal RNA (400 nucleotides) under Arthrobacter sp. LT75. Its description in RNAcentral is "bacterial SSU rRNA". It matches the Rfam family "Bacterial small subunit ribosomal RNA", at positions 70 to 483 of the family's 1533-position model. Lineage: Bacteria; Bacillati; Actinomycetota; Actinomycetes; Micrococcales; Micrococcaceae. The record is from RNAcentral.